GACGAACGCUGGCGGCGUGCUUAACACAUGCAAGUCGAACGGAAAGGCCCUGCUUGCAGGGUGCUCGAGUGGCGAACGGGUGAGUAACACGUGGGUGAUCUGCCCCUUACUUUGGGAUAAGCCUGGGAAACUGGGUCUAAUACUGGAUAGGACCAUGCUGUAGGUGGUGUGGUGGAAAGAUUAGUUUCGGUAAGGGAUGAGCUCGCGGCCUAUCAGCUUGUUGGUGGGGUAAUGGCCUACCAAGGCGUCGACGGGUAGCCGGCCUGAGGGGGUGGACGGACACAUUGGGACUGAGAUACGGCGCAGACUCCUACGGGAGGCAGCAGUGGGGAAGAUUGCAAAAUGGGGGAAAGCCUGAUGCAGCGACGCCGCGUGGGGGAUGACGGCCUUCGGGUUGUAAACUCCUUUCAGCCAUGACGAAGCCCUUGUGGUGACGGUAGUGGUAGAAGAAGCACCGGCUAACUACGUG
RNAcentral lists this ribosomal RNA (469 nucleotides) under uncultured bacterium. Its description in RNAcentral is "partial 16S ribosomal RNA". It matches the Rfam family "Bacterial small subunit ribosomal RNA", at positions 28 to 507 of the family's 1533-position model. The record is from RNAcentral.